AAGUCGUAACAAGGUAACCGUAGGUGAACCUGCGGUUGGAUCAUUACCAAAUCCAAACCCGGUGCUCUCGGCGCUGCAUGCGCGCGUGCGUCUUCCUCCCUCCCUCACCGCGCCCUUUGCGGGGCGCAGAGUCGGAGAGGAGGGGGCGCGCUCACGUGUGUGCUUCGUCCAUUGUGCCUUCCACCCCAUGUGCAAUGUUUCCACACUGGGGGCGUGGCUUGCCACGCGCACAUCGCACCUUGCAGUGUGUGCGCGCGGCUCGCCGCUUAAGCGCCCCCUUUCACUACCCUGUGCUUCUCCAAUCACCUGACGUUACCACUCGUGGCAUGUGCGCUUGCGCACCUGGCAUUAGAGCUUAACGAAAAAACAACUUUUGACAACGGAUCUCUUGGCUCUC
RNAcentral lists this unclassified non-coding RNA (397 nucleotides) under fungal sp. RNAcentral describes it as "partial internal transcribed spacer region". The stretch from base 1 to 46 matches the Rfam family "Eukaryotic small subunit ribosomal RNA", at positions 1786 to 1831 of the family's 1831-position model. Lineage: Eukaryota; Fungi. The record is from RNAcentral.